RNAcentral lists this transfer-messenger RNA (66 nucleotides) under Candidatus Bipolaricaulota bacterium. RNAcentral describes it as "partial transfer-messenger RNA". It matches the Rfam family "transfer-messenger RNA", at positions 307 to 374 of the family's 374-position model. Rfam says of the family: Bacterial tmRNA, also known as 10Sa RNA or SsrA, is named for its dual tRNA and mRNA-like properties. Its role is to liberate the mRNA from a stalled ribosome. To accomplish this part of the tmRNA is used as a reading frame that ends in a translation stop signal. The record is from RNAcentral. Lineage: Bacteria; Candidatus Bipolaricaulota.
GCUAAGCCUGUAAAUGCCGCACGGAGUCAAAGUCGGACGUGGGUUCGAUUCCCACCACCUCCACCA